Molecule: ribosomal RNA, 94 nt
Filed under: Telipogon acicularis
Lineage: Eukaryota; Viridiplantae; Streptophyta; Magnoliopsida; Asparagales; Orchidaceae
Also listed under: 3 other names
Description: 5.8S ribosomal RNA
Rfam family: 5.8S ribosomal RNA
About the family: 5.8S ribosomal RNA (5.8S rRNA) is a component of the large subunit of the eukaryotic ribosome.
Source: RNAcentral
GACAUGACUCUCGGCAAUGGAUAUCUUGGCUCUUGCAUCGAUGAAGAGCGCAGCGAAAUGCGAUACGUGGUGCGAAUUGCAGAAUCCCGUGAAC